GUAGCCAUUUGGUCACAAACACUGGCCAAAGUUAGCGUUAGUAUUUGUUUGUGUAAAAAAUGCAAAAAACGCCAAUUUUGGCCAGUGUUUGUGACUAAGUGGCUAC
Molecule: microRNA precursor, 106 nt
Filed under: Pelobates cultripes (western spadefoot toad)
Lineage: Eukaryota; Metazoa; Chordata; Amphibia; Anura; Pelobatidae
Source: RNAcentral